This is a long non-coding RNA of Macaca mulatta (Rhesus monkey), 2399 nucleotides long. The record is from Ensembl. NCBI's taxonomy places the organism in Eukaryota, Metazoa, Chordata, Mammalia, Primates, Cercopithecidae.
AUAAAAAUAUCAAAAUAUCAGGCAUUCUUUUUUUUUUUUUUUUGGCUGGCAAGUUAAAAUAUACAAAAUGGAGGUAGUUUUAGAAAAUAAGGCAUUAUCCUUAGCUAAUUUUUAAGCAUCCUUGGAGGUCUUUGAGUAGCACCCUUGACGGUAAUAUGGCUGUAGAUGCACAAUGAGUUAUAUAAAGCAGAGAACAUUUAGGUCACUGUGAUGAUGUGGGCUGCAAGAUCCCAGUGAUGACGGUGGUAACACAGAGAAGACAGAUGUGAGAGAAAUGAUAUUUCAUAUUGACAUGACUUGACAAUCCUUAAUUGGAUGUAAGAGACAGAGGAGAGAAAAGAGGUUUUUUUAAUUUUUAUUUAUUUAUUUACUUUUUUCUGGUGCAUCCCAUCAUUUGUUUAAGAAGUAAGUAUUUACCACCUAUUAUGUCCCAGGCACUAGGACAUAGUGCUGGUCCUAUUGCUAAAUUUUCUAAACCUUCCAUUGACUCAGCUGGAGCUACCAUCAUGUGCCAUUGUCAAUUUUCCCACUGCUUUAAUUGCCUCCAGAAUCAAAAUUAAAUGGUUACUCCUUUUCUAUCAUCUGCAAUUCUCCUUUCAGUGUUCCUCACUGGGAGAAGCCAACAAAUACUCAGAUGGUCUUGGGGGUCUGGCACGUACUUUUCAGGACUUCAACUCUGGUGGUACAAAAACACAUAGGAAGGAGAAUGUAAAACUUAAGCCAAUGAGAACUACCGGACAAAAAGGUCAUUGUGUGAAAUGAUGAAAUGCAUCUUCAUAAGAAAGCGCAAGAACUUGAAUUUGAGAAGAAAAAUAUAAAAGGAAAAAUAUUCUAGAAUCAGAUAUGAAAAUCACCGUGUCAGAUUAUGAAGCUGGAAUUUAUUCUUUGAAAAAUAGAAGAAAACAAGAUAAAACUAUGAAGAACGCAUUGCUGCUGCUUUAACAAUACUCAGAGAUGUUAUCACCAAAAGCCAUCAGUAACUGCCACAUGAGGCAGUCCCUACAAGGAGAGCAUUGCCUUCUGGUGUAUUGUGACAAGCUCAUCUGCAUGCAUGCACGAGUUCAUAUAGGACUGACAUUUUUGAAAGAACACCACAGCUUGAGAAAUAGAAAGAAGCUUUAGAUCAUCCAAUCCAGGUGAUUUUCACACAAAGUUUGACUGUAAAACUUUUUAGUGAAGAUGCUUUUCUACUCAGUAUACAUUUACUGAGCACAUACACAUAUGUAAAUACAGAUAUGAAUAAAAUACAGUGCUUAUCUUAGAAAUGAUUCUGUUUAAUAAAGGCAUCUUUCUCUCACUCUGUCAAACAGACAUGUAUGUGCACACACACACACAUGCAUGCACAUGCACCCCACAAUGCUCCUUGAAUUUAUAAAUAAAAGGGAGCUAUAGAAUGGGCAGAGGGGUGAGGGUUGGGGAGAUUGAGAAAAGCGUUGCAGGGGAACUGUGAGAAGGAAAGGUUUUCUAGUAACACAUAUUACUUGACCUGGUAUUGGAGGCAUGAAAAAAUAUUUCAAAGGCCGAAAUUUAAAAAGAAGUUAUUCCAGGCAUGAGAGUGGUAUGAACAAAGGCAGAAGCCUGAUAACAUAAAAAAUUAGAGAAAAUAAAUAUAGGCCACAAUUUACAGACUUAAAGGUCUACUUUAAGGACAGCGUGGGUCCAUUCUGACAGGAUAUUGAUAGUUAAAGAUGGGCUUUGGGGAGAUUGUUCUGGUAACAGGGCCCUUUGCUGGGUAAAGACAGAAUUAGAAGAGGAAAUGACAUUUGUAAUGGGAGCAUCACCCAAUUUUCUCUCUACACAACCCUGUAGUCACUCCUGGGGUGACUUUACAGAAACCAGAGGGUUCCACAGACAGGAUUUAAAAGUUCUUUUUCUUUUUUUUUGAGUCCAUCUCUCACAUUUCACAACUGAAGGAACCAUGGCUUGGAGUUCAUGAAUAACUUGAGCAAGAUCAUACAACAAUCUAUUCUUGAGAUUUUGCUUCAUAGCACUCAACUAUGGAUCGGUAGCUAUAAACUGCUUCAAGGCAUUUUCUCCUGAUUACUUCAUACCAUAGUGAUUUGCUUUUCCUGGAUAUAGUCUCAGUUUUUCUUGUAAUUACCAGUUCCUUAAGAAAAACAGAGUUCAUUAGAUUUCAUGGACAUUAGCAGACCAGCAGGUGUCUAUUACAAUGUCUAUGUAUUCUUGAUCACUAUUAUAAUUAUUGCCAUUGUUAUUAUCAUUUGAAGUGCCCAAAAUUGUGUGUUUUCAGAGUCAUGAAGUGUCUUGACAUUUAAUUUUUAAGAAUUUCAUUUAAGAGCCAAAAGUUGCAAUUGCAUAGUCUAGGAGACAUUUAGAUGUUAACAACUCCUUUUAGAAUGAAACACAUGGUAAUAACCUAUUUAUAUUGAAGAUAAAUG